AGCAGAAUGCCUGAGAGUAAAGGGUUAUUUUGAUAGAAUAAAUCACGUAAGUAAUUACUUCUGCUU
This 66-nucleotide transfer RNA is filed under the name Staphylinidae sp. BMNH 1274217. Its description in RNAcentral is "tRNA-Ile". Lineage: Eukaryota; Metazoa; Arthropoda; Insecta; Coleoptera; Staphylinidae. The record is from RNAcentral.